GUGGGGAAUAUUGGACAAUGGGCGAAAGCCUGAUCCAGCCAUGCCGCGUGUGUGAAGAAGGUCUUCGGAUUGUAUAGCACUUUAAGUUGGGAGGAAGGGCAGUAAAUUAAUACCUUGCUGUUUUGACGUUACCGACAGAAUAAGCACCGGCUAACUUCGUGCCAGCAGCCGCGGUAAUACGAAGGGUGCAAGCGUUAAUCGGAAUUACUGGGCGUAAAGCGCGCGUAGGUGGUUUUGGAAGUUGGAGGUGAAAUCCCCGGGCUCAACCUGGGAACUGCCUCCAAAACUGCAUGACUAGAGUACGGUAGAGGGUAGUGGAAUUUCCUGUGUAGCGGUGAAAUGCGUAGAUAUAGGAAGGAACACCAGUGGCGAAGGCGACUACCUGGACUGAUACUGACACUGAGGUGCGAAAGCGUGGGGAGCAAACAGGAUUAGAAACCCGGGUAGUCC
This 450-nucleotide ribosomal RNA is filed under the name uncultured bacterium. RNAcentral describes it as "partial 16S ribosomal RNA". It matches the Rfam family "Bacterial small subunit ribosomal RNA", at positions 354 to 796 of the family's 1533-position model. The record is from RNAcentral.